This 499-nucleotide long non-coding RNA is filed under the name Phoenix dactylifera (date palm). RNAcentral describes it as "long non-coding RNA (PDAC_LNC021785)". Lineage: Eukaryota; Viridiplantae; Streptophyta; Magnoliopsida; Arecales; Arecaceae. The record is from RNAcentral.
AAAACCAAAAAUUUCAGUUCAAAAACUUCAAUGCAUUAAAAGGAAAUUCAGAGAAUCAAAACAAAGUAGAAUGCAUAUGUUGAGGGAGAGAAUCUGAAUUUUUAAGAAAGCUAAAUCAUUAAAUAUAUAUAAGCCAAACAAUUGAUUGCAUGAUAUGAAGGCUUAUAUAAUUUCAAAUGAAAGGGGGAGCUUUAAUUCCAAAAUUUAUUAUUUCACGCCUUUUAAGCUUGGAUAAAUUAAAUAACCAGACACUUGAAUUCAUUUAUGGAUUUUAUUUCCUUGUUUAUUGAGCAAUUCACUUUACAUAUACUCAAUGUUUUGUCAUCAUCAAAAAGGGGGAGAUUGUGGAGUGAUUGAUCAUAACCCUAUUUGAUUUUGAUGAGCUCAAAGCAUCUGAGUAUAUCUCUUGUUUACUAAUGAAUUUAAUUGAGUGUUUCAGUGAAAAUCUUGUCUAAAGUGUUUCUAGACUUGGUUCAUAAUAUUUUGGAUAAGUUAAGAA